Molecule: non-coding RNA, 118 nt
Organism: Solanum tuberosum (potato)
Lineage: Eukaryota; Viridiplantae; Streptophyta; Magnoliopsida; Solanales; Solanaceae
Source: Rfam
GAGAAAAUUAGUAUGUUAAGAUAGCCCAAGAUGACUGCCUAUAUAAUAUAAUUACCAAUUUCAAAAUUGGUUUUGAACAUAGGCAAGUCAUCCUUGGCUAAUAAACAAAUACUUUACU